Molecule: long non-coding RNA, 378 nt
Organism: Gossypium arboreum
Lineage: Eukaryota; Viridiplantae; Streptophyta; Magnoliopsida; Malvales; Malvaceae
Exons: 2
Source: RefSeq, a predicted model, not a curated record
AAGGCUUCAAUAGCCUCCCCUUCUUUAGGUAAACUCAUUUCAUGACUUGAAGAAUUAUUCUCCACAUUAAAUGCUUCAGUCGACAGUCCCUGCCCCCCGUUUUCAUUUCCUUCAUUCUCAAGGCAUGGUUCUACUGUAGAGUGGAUACGCCAGGAAGGAUCAAGCUAGGAUUGCACCAGGUAGCAGUGAGUUGCAAUAUUAUGCAUACAAAAGGUAUCAUAGGAGUGUGGCGUAUAGUACACUGCGCCAUGAAGAUUCUAUUUUUAAUAAAGUUUUAUGUUGUAACAUCUUACGUUAUUAAAAAAUUUAUUGUAAAUAUUUAAUAUCCUCUUUAUAUUAAUGAACGGUACAAAAAUGAAUAAGAAGUAUGUUUUAAAA